RNAcentral lists this long non-coding RNA (1282 nucleotides) under Nicotiana tabacum (common tobacco). RNAcentral describes it as "long non-coding RNA (NTAB_LNC000145)". The record is from RNAcentral. Lineage: Eukaryota; Viridiplantae; Streptophyta; Magnoliopsida; Solanales; Solanaceae.
UUUCGCGUACACAACAUAUGUCUACAAGCCUCUAAGAGUACAUAAAUGUCAUAAAGGUCGGGAUAGAGUCCCGCCAUACCAAACAAUACAUGUCUAAAUCAUAAUAACCAAACAAGAAACUCUGAAGCAAAUGGAGCGCACCAACAUCUUCCGCUGAGCUGAUAGCCUACUUGGAGGGCUCUCGACCUAACUAUUGGGACCUGCGGGCAUGAAACGCAGCAUCACCAGGCAAAAGGGACGUCAGUACAAAAAAUGUACCGAGUAUGUUAGGCGCAUAAAUAAGUACAUAACAGACAUGGAAGAAAUAUAGAGUAAUUGACUUAACCUGUAAGUCUGGAUAAACUGUAAAUCAUAAAUUACUUUUAGCGCCAUGCAUAUGCGUAUGAAUAUCAUGUUGUGCAUAGGUACAUGUUUCAUAACAUCAUCAGCCUCUGAGGGCAUCCCAUCAUAUCAUAUCGGCCACUGUGGGCAAAAUCAUCAUCGUAUACCAGCUGAUCAGGUGGUGGUACAUAUAUAAUUCCAUAACCAUUCCAAUAUCCCAUAUACAUAUAUAUACAUACAUAUAUACGCGUAUAUAAUGCCGUCUGAGUCAUAUUUCAGUCACUAUGGGCAACAUCAUCAUCAUAUACCAACUGAUCCGGUGGUGGUGCAUAUAAAAAGCCAUAACCUUUCCCAUAUCCCAUAUACAUAUAUAUACAUAAAUAUAUACGCAUAUAUAAUGUCAUCUGGUCGUGGGUCAAUGCACAUGAAUGCAAUACAUGAAAAAUACGUUAAUAAAAUCUUUCGGAGUUUCAUAAGAUCAUUUUGCCUUUGAGUAAUAUCAUAAAGUAAACACUUUUUAACUUUUGAAUUUUUCUGAGACACAUGAACAGAUGAGAAAAUAUUAUGACACAAGGAAAUUCAAGAACAUAGAUAUCUUUAAUACUUCUAUGAAUAGAGUCAUUCAUGGAAUUUGUGCAUUUCCACAUUUCAUUCGUAUCAUAUGGAUCAUGCCAAAAGAAAGAAAGGAUAGCCUUAACAUACCUGGAGUAGAGAAAACUCCGUAUAAUAUUCUUGGAGAAGAUUGCACAUACUCCUUUAGGAUCGUAAAUUUUGCAUUGCUACGAUUCUACCAAAUUCUCGUUGGAACCGUACUACUGCUCGUUGGAUUGAACUUAAAAUUGCAGGAACUGGAUUCAAAUAGUUACUGUUCUUGAGACCUUGAACCAGGAUAUGAAAGUGUUUCUAUUGAAAUGGCUACUAUUCUUGGUUGAUUUGAGACUUUGAACGUAUUCUAACGUUU